AUUGAACGCUGGCGGCAUGCUUUACACAUGCAAGUCGAACGGCAGCGCGGGCUUCGGUCUGGCGGCGAGUGGCGAACGGUUGAGUACUGCAUCUGAACUUGCCCUGUCUUGGGGGAUAGCCCGGCGAAAGCCGGAUUAAUACCGCAUACGACCUUAGGUUGAAAUCGGGGGACCGAAAGGCCUCGCGCUAUUUGAGCGGCCUAGGUCGGAUUAGCUAGUUGGUGGGGUAACGGCUUAACAAGGCGACGCUCCGUAGCUGGUCUGAGAGGACGACCCGCCACACUGGGACUGAGACACGGCACAGACACCGACGGGAGGAAGCAGUGGGGAAUUUUGGAGAAUGGGGGCAAGCCUGAUCCAGCCAAGCCGCGUGCGGGAAGAAGGACUUCGGGUGGUAAACCGAUUUUGUUCGGGAAGAAAUCAUCUGGGCUAAUACCCCGUGGGGAUGACGGUACCGGAAGAAUAAGCACCGGCUAACUACGUG
Molecule: ribosomal RNA, 484 nt
Filed under: uncultured bacterium
Lineage: Bacteria
Description: partial 16S ribosomal RNA
Rfam family: Bacterial small subunit ribosomal RNA
Source: RNAcentral